This 243-nucleotide ribosomal RNA is filed under the name uncultured bacterium. Its description in RNAcentral is "partial small subunit ribosomal RNA". It matches the Rfam family "Bacterial small subunit ribosomal RNA", at positions 26 to 285 of the family's 1533-position model. The record is from RNAcentral.
AGAAUCAACGCUGGCGGCGUGCCUAACACAUGCAAGUCGCACGAGAAAGGGUAGCAAUACCUGAGUAAAGUGGCGCACGGGUGAGUAACACGUGACUAAUCUACCCUCGAGUGGGGAAUAACUGAGAGAAAUCUUAGCUAAUACCGCAUAACACUUACGAGUCAAAGCAGCAAUGCGCUUGGGGAGGAGGUCGCGGCCGAUUAGCUAGUUGGCGGGUAAUGGCCCACAAGGCGAUGAUCGGUA